ACAGCCUAACACAUGCAAGUCGAACGGUAACAGGAAGCAGCUUGCUGCUUCGCUGACGAGUGGCGGACGGGUGAGUAAUGUCUGGGAAACUGCCUGAUGGAGGGGGAUAACUACUUGGAAUACGGUAGCUAAUAACCAGCAUAACGUCGCAANGACCAAAGAGGGGGACCUUACUGGAGCCUACUAUGCCAUACGAGAUAGUAGCCCAAGAUAGGGAUUAAGCUANGUAGAGUUGGGGUAACUGAGCUCACCUAGGCGACUGAUCACCUAAAGACUAGCGUACUAGAAGAAGCGAUAGACCAGCCACCAACUUAGAGAACUAGAAGAACACAGGGUACCAAGAACUCCUAACGGGGAGAGCAAGCAAAGAUAGGGCGGAAUAUAAUAGCCACAAAGUUAGGGGCCAGCAAAGCCUUAGAUAAGGCAUGACUCCAAUUAGCACAGCGUUAGUAAUUAAGC
RNAcentral lists this ribosomal RNA (459 nucleotides) under uncultured bacterium. RNAcentral describes it as "partial 16S ribosomal RNA". The record is from RNAcentral.